UUAGACCGAGGCUGAAGAUGAUGUGUGUUGCUUUUUGAUUGGCUAGCACAUGUUUUUAUCUUUUGUGACUUAAAAUGAGUGUGGCCGAUUGAUAUAUGUCCACAUGAUUUUUUUGUUUUAUUUUAAUGUCACGCCCUCCAAAUCUGAUUUUAAGUGAAAUGGAUCAUGGGCUUGCAUGCUUCGCUGUUCCUACCCCUAGUUUUAGGCCCAUGCGCAUGAUUAACUUGGUUACAGUUCAUUUCAUUUUUGCUUAUUCACCCCCAUUUACCAAUUGAUUUGUUUUU
Molecule: long non-coding RNA, 284 nt
Filed under: Lathyrus oleraceus (garden pea)
Lineage: Eukaryota; Viridiplantae; Streptophyta; Magnoliopsida; Fabales; Fabaceae
Description: Pisum sativum (pea) long non-coding RNA (PSAT_LNC036334)
Source: RNAcentral